This 442-nucleotide long non-coding RNA is filed under the name Marmota marmota marmota (Alpine marmot). RNAcentral describes it as "lncRNA (ENSMMMG00000006312.1)". Lineage: Eukaryota; Metazoa; Chordata; Mammalia; Rodentia; Sciuridae. The record is from RNAcentral.
GGCGGUCACCGACACGCGUCGAGCCCCCCGCCCCCGCCCCCGCCCCUCACCUUCUCCUCCUCUUCCUCCUCCUCCUCCUCCCCGGCAGAGCUGUAGGCCUCAAAGUGGUGACGCGGGGUCAUCCGCAGGCCCGUUACCACCUCAUUUUCCUCUCGCGCAGCGGCGGGGGCGCGCAGGACUAGGACCGGGCCGACAGAGGAGGGAGAAGAGAAGGAACCCGGCGGGGUUGGGGGGGCGCGGUAGCUGGCGCUCGAGCGGGACGCACGGCUGCGGCCAGAAGGUCGGUCAGCGAAUUAGUUCCAUGACCACCCCGGACCUGAGGCCGCCACCGCCGGUCCCGCUCCUCCAACCGCCGCCGCUGGUGCCUGGGAGCGGAAGGGUCUUCCUGAACCUCACGAUGACAGAUGGAAACUUCCCAAACCAACUUCCCAACUUCCCAAAC